GGACUACUGGGGUAUCUAAUCCUGUUUGCUCCCCACGCUUUCGUGUCUCAGCGUCAGUAUCGGGCCAGUAAGCCGCCUUCGCCACUGGUGUUCUUCCGAAUAUCUACGAAUUUCACCUCUACACUCGGAGUUCCGCUUACCUCUCCCGAACUCAAGAUACCCAGUAUCGAAGGCUAUUCCAGGGUUGAGCCCUGGGCUUUCACCCCCGACUUAAGUAUCCGCCUACACACCCUUUACGCCCAGUAAUUCCGAGCAACGCUAGCCCCCUUCGUAUUACCGCGGCUGCUGGCAC
Molecule: ribosomal RNA, 292 nt
Filed under: uncultured bacterium
Lineage: Bacteria
Description: partial 16S ribosomal RNA
Source: RNAcentral